Molecule: ribosomal RNA, 254 nt
Filed under: uncultured bacterium
Lineage: Bacteria
Description: partial 16S ribosomal RNA
Rfam family: Bacterial small subunit ribosomal RNA
Source: RNAcentral
UACGGAGGGUGCAAGCGUUAUCCGGAUUUACUGGGUUUAAAGGGUGCGUAGGUGGGUAGGUAAGUCAGUGGUGAAAUCUUCGAGCUUAACUCGGAAACUGCCAUUGAUACUAUUUAUCUUGAAUACUCUGGAGGUAAGCGGAAUAUGUCAUGUAGCGGUGAAAUGCUUAGAUAUGACAUAGAACACCAAUUGCGAAGGCAGCUUACUACAUAGUUAUUGACACUGAGGCACGAAAGCGUGGGGGAUCAAACAGG